CCUAUGGGCGGCUGCAGUGGGGAAUAUUGGGCAAUGGAGGCAACUCUGACCCAGCAACGCCGCGUGAAGGAAGAAGGCCUUAGGGUUGUAAACUUAUGUUGUAAAGGAAGAAAAGAAUGACGGUACUUUACAAGAAAGCCCCGGCUAACUAUGUGCCAGCAGCCGCGGUAAGACAUAGGGGGCAAGCGUUGUUCGGAAUUACUGGGCGUAAAGGGAGCGUAGGCGGGAGAUUAAGUUAAGAUUGAAAGCCUUGGGCUCAACCCAAGAAAUGCUCUUAAUACUGGUUUUCUAGAGUGUGGGAGAGGUAAGUGGAAUUCCUAGUGUAGCGGUGAAAUGCAUAGAUAUCACGAAGAACUCCGAUUGCGAAGGCAGCAUACCGGCGCCCAACUGACGCUGAAGCACGAAAGCGUGGGUAUCGAACAGGAUUAGAUACCCGGGUAGUC
Molecule: ribosomal RNA, 443 nt
Filed under: uncultured bacterium
Lineage: Bacteria
Description: partial 16S ribosomal RNA
Rfam family: Bacterial small subunit ribosomal RNA
Source: RNAcentral